GUGGGGAAUAUUGCACAAUGGAGGGAACUCUGAUGCAGCAACGCCGCGUGAAGGAAGAAGGUUUUCGGAUCGUAAACUUCUAUCAACAGGGACGAAAAAAAUGACGGUACCUGAAUAAGAAGCCCCGGCUAACUACGUGCCAGCAGCCGCGGUAAUACGUAGGGGGCAAGCGUUAUCCGGAAUUACUGGGUGUAAAGGGAGAGUGGGCGGCAUGACAAGCAAGAUGUGAAAGCCCGGGGCUUAACCGCGGGACUGCAUAAUGAACUGUCAGGAUAGAGUACAGGAGAGGUAAGCGGAAUUCCUAGUGUAGCGGUGAAAUGCGUAGAUAUUAGGAAGAACACCGGUGGCGAAGGCGGCUUACUGGACUGAAACUGACGCUGAGGCUCGAAAGCGUGGGGAGCGAACAGGAUUAGAUACCGAGUAGUCC
RNAcentral lists this ribosomal RNA (427 nucleotides) under uncultured bacterium. Its description in RNAcentral is "partial 16S ribosomal RNA". It matches the Rfam family "Bacterial small subunit ribosomal RNA", at positions 354 to 796 of the family's 1533-position model. The record is from RNAcentral.